Molecule: long non-coding RNA, 215 nt
Organism: Myotis davidii
Lineage: Eukaryota; Metazoa; Chordata; Mammalia; Chiroptera; Vespertilionidae
Exons: 3
Source: RefSeq, a predicted model, not a curated record
GAGCCUCAUCUUGCUCAGGAAAGCGAUGUGUCCAGCUAAAAAUAUUCACCUCCCGGACUUCUUGCAUCAAAAGAAGGCCACGUGAUCCAUUCUGGAGAAUGAGCAAAUCCAACAGCAAAGCUGUCCGAAGUCGGCCUGGACUGUCUCAGGAGGUGGAGGACAUUUAUUCAGAGGCAACUUGCAGCCCUAGUUGGGUAGCUCCGUUGGUUAGUCAU